AUGUCCCUCAUCACCGAUGACCCCGACCACUCCCCGCGGGACUGCGCCACCAAGCGCCGCCACCACCACCACCACCACCACCACUCCGGUGGCUGGCGCCAGCGACGGCUGCUGAUCGCGGCGGCGUCGGGCGCGGCGUCGCUGCUGGCACUGUGUAUCAUCCUCUGGCUCACCCUCCGCCCCUCAGCUCCGCGCUUCACGCUGCUGGCCGCCACCGCAACCUCCUCCAACGCAAGCACCGGAGGCGGCCUCGUGCGCCUCGACGCGGCCCUCAUGGCGCACAACCCCAACGCGCGAGCCGCCGCGCUCUACGACGGCCUCCGGGCGCGCGCCUCCUACGCGGGCUUCCAGCUCGCCACCGCCGGGCCCCUCCCGCCGUUCCAGCAGGCCCAGGGCGAAGCCGUGCUCUCCGCCUCCCUCUCCUCGGCGGCGGAGGCGACCGCGGAGGAAGCAGCCGAUGGACGGUCACCGGCGUUGCUGAGGCUGCGCAUAGAGGGGCGGCUCCGGUGGAAGGUGGCGGCCUGGGUGUCCGGCGAGUGUGCCCUCGCCGCCGAGUGCGUCGCCGUCGCGGCGCCGUCGCAGCUCAGGGCCGUCGUCGUGCAGGGCACCGAGUGCGCCGUCACCAUCGAAUGA
RNAcentral lists this ribosomal RNA (633 nucleotides) under Triticum aestivum (bread wheat). Its description in RNAcentral is "partial small subunit ribosomal RNA". The record is from RNAcentral. Lineage: Eukaryota; Viridiplantae; Streptophyta; Magnoliopsida; Poales; Poaceae.